Molecule: ribosomal RNA, 531 nt
Filed under: uncultured bacterium
Lineage: Bacteria
Description: bacterial SSU rRNA
Rfam family: Bacterial small subunit ribosomal RNA
Source: RNAcentral
CGCGUGAGGAACCUGCCUCAAAGAGGGGGACAACAGUUGGAAACGACUGCUAAUACCGCAUAAGCCCACGGCUCGGCAUCGAGCAGAGGGAAAAGGAGCAAUCCGCUUUGAGAUGGCCUCGCGUCCGAUUAGCUAGUUGGUGAGGUAACGGCCCACCAAGGCGACGAUCGGUAGCCGGACUGAGAGGUUGAACGGCCACAUUGGGACUGAGACACGGCCCAGACUCCUACGGGAGGCAGCAGUGGGGAAUAUUGCACAAUGGGGGAAACCCUGAUGCAGCGACGCCGCGUGGAGGAAGAAGGUCUUCGGAUUGUAAACUCCUGUUGUUGAGGAAGAUAAUGACGGUACUCAACAAGGAAGUGACGGCUAACUACGUGCCAGCAGCCGCGGUAAAACGUAGGUCACAAGCGUUGUCCGGAAUUACUGGGUGUAAAGGGAGCGCAGGCGGGAGAACAAGUUGGAAGUGAAAUCCAUGGGCUCAACCCAUGAACUGCUUUCAAAACUGUUUUUCUUGAGUAGUGCAGAGGUAGG